AAUAGCUCCUUCAUUCGUUCUCCUCGCACGCGCGCAGAGGCAGCCAAAUCCCUAGAUCUUCGCCGCCUGGGCUCCCGCCGAUCGAUCCACGCCGUCCCACCGCCGCCCCACGCUGCGUGGAGCUACCGCCGGUCUAUCCCCACGCCGCUCCACCACCGCCCCACGCCGCCCUCCCUCUGCAACACCGUCCCACGCCGCCCUCCCUCUGCAGCAGCGCCGCCCAACGCCGUCCUAUCUCUCCACCGACGGCCCCACGCCCUAGUGCUCUCUCUCCGGGCGUCCGCCUCUCUCCAACCGGCAGUGGGCGUGCGAGCAUCCGGAAGCGGCCGCCACCUUCCUUGGCCCGACCUACCCCAUCUCCGCCGUCCAGAUCUCGAAGAGACACCUAGCGGCGGCGGCAAGGGCAUCGAUGCGGCUAAGGAUUCUUGCCCCCAAGUUCCAACAACACAGCUUCCAGCAGCGGUGCAGCGAUCCCCCAUCCGUGUUUGUCACUGCACGCUCCACCAGUUGAAGAAUCUCAAGAUGACAUUGGUAAUGUUUUACGUGUGAGUGUUGCUGAUGGAGGCAUUGGUUCUGCUAGGACAGGUAUAGAUGGAUUAGUUCUUAAAGCAAGUGAUAUUGAAAAAAGAGGAAAAAUGGCAAGCGCAAACGGAAAAGGUAAAGAUGGUGGGGUCAUGGAGGAACAAUAGAAAGCGGUAGAGUAUGAACUACAGAGAAGUAAGACCAUUGAAGAAAAUGAUAAACGGUUGGCGACGGCACGAGUUAUGUGCCACAGGCAGCAGCAACAAUUAAAGAUCUCAUAGAGAAAGCUGAAAAGCACCCUGAAUGGAAGGAAAAAAGCAUUCAAGAAGGUGAUCUGUUUGCACGUGUAUGCGGAAAGAAGGAGCCAAGGGGCCGUGUCCGUGUGUUAGGUCUAGGGCCAACACCUCAAGAUUUGGGCACACCGGGUACAUGGGGUAAAAUGAGCACAAGAGUUCUAGUUGCAAUGGAAGGACGUCGAGAAGCUGAAAAUUGCUUUAACAUGUUGGAGGGGCAUGUGCAGGAAAUGCAGGAACGAAUGAACCGAAUGGAACUGAUGUUAGCUUCACAAGGAGCGCAUAAUGUGCAAACUCCUAGAUCGCAGCACGGUUCCAAUUCUUGACAAAACUCAGAAGUUGAAGCUGAGGAAGAUGACGAUGAUGGUGAAGAAGAUGAUGAAGAGCCCUUUGUUCAUAGAAUAGUUAUUGCAAAGCCCCCUGCAAGAAGCUCAUCAGUUCAUGAAGAUGAAAGCCUCAUUGGUAUGGAUGUCCUUCGAUAUGCAUGGACUGGUCCUGAAACUCCUGUUGCUAAGGCAACAAUUAUCUUAGUUGAUUCAGACACUGUUGUGGGCGAAGAGCCCCUUGGACCAGCGACUUAUGAUGUUCUUGUCAAUGUUGCGACCAGAAGGGAUGCUAUGUUGCCUUAUGAAUAUGACGGUUUACGAUUGAUCGGUGAUACUGUCACAAGGUCUUUUGCAUGGCCAUCUAACAAGCCCUACAAACUAUCUUCCUCGUCCCGCCGCUAAGGUACUAUACAAGAGAUGCUUCUUGGUGCUUUCUUUUGCUCAAAGUACACAAGUUGCUAAGGUAAGACAUACAAAAGGACCAUCAAGGAACCAUGAAGAUGGCAGUUCGCGUUUGCUAGACAUCUUGUGUAAUGGAGCAAAAACAGUGUCUUUUAGGUAUCAUUUUGUGGACCUAUAUGGCGUCUUGUCAUUUGGGUAUGUUGUGUAAUGGAGCAAACAAUGAAUUGAUAGACAUGCAUCUAUCAUUUUGUAAACCUAUCGAGUGAUUCGGUGACUGGAACAUAUAAAUGUUGGAAGGCUCAUGAGAAUAAAUUACUGUUUUAUC
Aegilops tauschii subsp. strangulata is the source of this 1868-nucleotide non-coding RNA. Lineage: Eukaryota; Viridiplantae; Streptophyta; Magnoliopsida; Poales; Poaceae. The record is from RefSeq and is a predicted model, not a curated record.